Molecule: long non-coding RNA, 2707 nt
Organism: Salvelinus fontinalis (brook trout)
Lineage: Eukaryota; Metazoa; Chordata; Actinopteri; Salmoniformes; Salmonidae
Exons: 3
Source: RefSeq, a predicted model, not a curated record
GACGUUGUUAUAGAAACAGGCAGAGUACAGGUAUAAAACAGGUAUGAGACGUUGUUAUAGAAACAGGCAGAGUACAGGUAUAAAACAGGUAUGAGACGUUGUUAUAUAGAAACAGGCAGAGUACAGGUAUAAAACAGGUAUGAGACGUUGUUGUUAUAGAAACAGGCAGAGUACAGGUAUAAAACAGGUAUGAGACGUUGUUAUAUAGAAACAGGCAGAGUACAGGUAUAAAACAGGUAUGAGACGUUGUUAUAUAGAAACAGACAGAGUACAGGUAUAAAACAGGUAUGAGACGUUGUUAUAUAGAAACAGGCAGAGUACAGGUAUAAAACAGGUAUGAGACGUUGUUAUAGAAACAGGCAGAGUACAGGUAUGAAACAGGUAUGAGACGUUGUUGUUAUAGAAACAGGCAGAGUACAGGUAUAAAACAGGUAGGAGACGUUGUUAUAUAGAAACAGGCAGAGUACAGGUAUAAAACAGGUAUGAGACGUUGUUAUAUAGAAACAGGCAGAGUACAGGUAUAAAACAGGUAUGAGACAUUGUUACUAUAGAAACAGGCAGAGUACAGGUAUAAAACAGGUAUGAGACGUUGUUGUUAUAGAAACAGGCAGAGUACAGGUAUAAAACAGGUAUGAGACGUUGUUAUAGAAACAGGCAGAGUACAGGUAUAAAACAGGUAUGAGACGUUGUUAUAUAGAAACAGGCAGAGUACAGGUAUAAAACAGGUAUGAGACGUUGUUAUAUAGAAACAGGCAGAGUACAGGUAUAAAACAGGUAUGAGACGUUGUUAUAGAAACAGGCAGAGUACAGGUAUAAAACAGGUAUGAGACGUUGUUAUAUAGAAACAGGCAGAGUACAGGUAUAAAACAGGUAUGAGACAUUGUUACUAUAGAAACAGGCAGAGUACAGGUAUAAAACAGGUAUGAGACGUUGUUAUAGAAACAGGCAGAGUACAGGUAUAAAACAGGUAUGAGACGUUGUUAUAUAGAAACAGGCAGAGUACAGGUAUAAAACAGGUAUGAGACGUUGUUAUAUAGAAACAGGCAGAGUACAGGUAUAAAACAGGUAUGAGACAUUGUUACUAUAGAAACAGGCAGAGUACAGGUAUAAAACAGGUAUGAGACGUUGUUGUUAUAGAAACAGGCAGAGUACAGGUAUAAAACAGGUAUGAGACGUUGUUAUAUAGAAACAGGCAGAGUACAGGUAUAAAACAGGUAGGAGACGUUGUUGUUAUAUAGAAACAGACAGAGUACAGGUAUAAAACAGGUAUGAGACAUUGUUACUAUAGAAACAGGCAGAGUACAGGUAUAAAACAGGUAUGAGACGUUAUAUAGAAACAGGCAGAGUACAGGUAUAAAACAGGUAUGAGACGUUGUUAUAGAAACAGGCAGAGUACAGGUAUAAAACAGGUAUGAGACGUUGUUAUAGAAACAGGCAGAGUACAGGUAUAAAACAGGUAUGAGACGUUGUUAUAGAAACAGGCAGAGUACAGGUAUAAAACAGGUAUGAGACGUUGUUAUAGAAACAGGCAGAGUACAGGUAUAAAACAGGUAUGAGACGUUGUUAUAUAGAAACAGGCAGAGUACAGGUAUAAAACAGGUAUGAGACGUUGUUAUAGAAACAGGCAGAGUACAGGUAUAAAACAGGUAUGAGACGUUGUUAUAUAGAAACAGGCAGAGUACAGGUAUAAAACAGGUAUGAGACGUUGUUGUUAUAGAAACAGGCAGAGUACAGGUAUAAAACAGGUAUGAGACGUUGUUAUAGAAACAGGCAGAGUACAGGUAUAAAACAGGUAUGAGACGUUGUUAUAUAGAAACAGGCAGAGUACAGGUAUAAAACAGGUAUGAGACGUUGUUAUAUAGAAACAGGCAGAGUACAGGUAUAAAACAGGUAUGAGACGUUGUUAUAUAGAAACAGGCAGAGUACAGGUAUAAAACAGGUAUGAGACGUUGUUAUAUAGAAACAGGCAGAGUACAGGUAUAAAACAGGUAUGAGACGUUGUUGUUAUAGAAACAGGCAGAGUACAGGUAUAAAACAGGUAUGAGACGUUAUAUAGAAACAGGCAGAGUACAGGUAUAAAACAGGUAUGAGACGUUGUUGUAUAGAAACAGGCAGAGUACAGGUAUGAGACGUUGUUAUAUAGAAACAGGCAGAGUACAGGUAUAAAACAGGUAGGAGACGUUGUUGUUAUAUAGAAACAGACAGAGUACAGGUAUAAAACAGGUAUGAGACAUUGUUACUAUAGAAACAGGCAGAGUACAGGUAUAAAACAGGUAUGAGACGUUAUAUAGAAACAGGCAGAGUACAGGUAUAAAACAGGUAUGAGACGUUGUUAUAGAAACAGGCAGAGUACAGGUAUAAAACAGGUAUGAGACGUUGUUAUAGAAACAGGCAGAGUACAGGUAUAAAACAGGUAUGAGACGUUGUUAUAGAAACAGGCAGAGUACAGGUAUAAAACAGGUAUGAGACGUUGUUAUAUAGAAACAGGCAGAGUACAGGUAUAAAACAGGUAUGAGACGUUGUUAUAGAGAAACAGGCAGAGUACAGGUAUAAAACAGGUAUGAGACGUUGUUAUAGAAACAGGCAAAGUACAGGUAUAAAACAGGUAUGAGACGUUGUUGUUAUAGAAACAGGCAGAGUACAGGUAUAAAACAGGUAUGAGACGUUAUAUAGAAACAGGCAGAGUACAGGUAUAAAACAGGUAUGA